RNAcentral lists this ribosomal RNA (116 nucleotides) under Sinocyclocheilus anshuiensis. The record is from RNAcentral. Lineage: Eukaryota; Metazoa; Chordata; Actinopteri; Cypriniformes; Cyprinidae.
GACAGCAGCCAUAUCACCCUGUCACCCAAGACUGGUUGCCCACUGUAGCUAAGCAGGGUUGAGCUGGUCAGUACCUGGAUGGGAGACCUCCUGGGAUAACUAGGUUGCUGAUGGAA